GGGUUGUGAGGUUAAGCGACUAAGCGUACACGGUGGAUGCCCAGGCAGUCAGAGGCGAUGAAGGACGUGCUAAUCUGCGAUAAGCGUCGGUAAGGUGAUAUGAACCGUUAUAACCGGCGAUUUCCGAAUGGGGAAACCCAGUGUGUUUCGACACACUAUCAUUAACUGAAUCCAUAGGUUAAUGAGGCGAACCGGGGGAACUGAAACAUCUAAGUACCCCGAGGAAAAGAAAUCAACCGAGAUUCCCCCAGUAGCGGCGAGCGAACGGGGAGCAGCCCAGAGCCUGAAUCAGUGUGUGUGUUAGUGGAAGCGUCUGGAAAGGCGCGCGAUACAGGGUGACAGCCCCGUACACAAAAAUGCACAUGCUGUGAGCUCGAUGAGUAGGGCGGGACACGUGGUAUCCUGUCUGAAUAUGGGGGGACCAUCCUCCAAGGCUAAAUACUCCUGACUGACCGAUAGUGAACCAGUACCGUGAGGGAAAGGCGAAAAGAACCCCGGCGAGGGGAGUGAAAAAGAACCUGAAACCGUGUACGUACAAGCAGUGGGAGCACGCUUAGGCGUGUGACUGCGUACCUUUUGUAUAAUGGGUCAGCGACUUAUAUUCUGUAGCAAGGUUAACCGAAUAGGGGAGCCGAAGGGAAACCGAGUCUUAACUGGGCGUUAAGUUGCAGGGUAUAGACCCGAAACCCGGUGAUCUAGCCAUGGGCAGGUUGAAGGUUGGGUAACACUAACUGGAGGACCGAACCGACUAAUGUUGAAAAAUUAGCGGAUGACUUGUGGCUGGGGGUGAAAGGCCAAUCAAACCGGGAGAUAGCUGGUUCUCCCCGAAAGCUAUUUAGGUAGCGCCUCGUGAAUUCAUCUCCGGGGGUAGAGCACUGUUUCGGCAAGGGGGUCAUCCCGACUUACCAACCCGAUGCAAACUGCGAAUACCGGAGAAUGUUAUCACGGGAGACACACGGCGGGUGCUAACGUCCGUCGUGAAGAGGGAAACAACCCAGACCGCCAGCUAAGGUCCCAAAGUCAUGGUUAAGUGGGAAACGAUGUGGGAAGGCCCAGACAGCCAGGAUGUUGGCUUAGAAGCAGCCAUCAUUUAAAGAAAGCGUAAUAGCUCACUGGUCGAGUCGGCCUGCGCGGAAGAUGUAACGGGGCUAAACCAUGCACCGAAGCUGCGGCAGCGACGCUUAUGCGUUGUUGGGUAGGGGAGCGUUCUGUAAGCCUGUGAAGGUGUGCUGUGAGGCAUGCUGGAGGUAUCAGAAGUGCGAAUGCUGACAUAAGUAACGAUAAAGCGGGUGAAAAGCCCGCUCGCCGGAAGACCAAGGGUUCCUGUCCAACGUUAAUCGGGGCAGGGUGAGUCGACCCCUAAGGCGAGGCCGAAAGGCGUAGUCGAUGGGAAACAGGUUAAUAUUCCUGUACUUGGUGUUACUGCGAAGGGGGGACGGAGAAGGCUAUGUUGGCCGGGCGACGGUUGUCCCGGUUUAAGCGUGUAGGCUGGUUUUCCAGGCAAAUCCGGAAAAUCAAGGCUGAGGCGUGAUGACGAGGCACUACGGUGCUGAAGCAACAAAUGCCCUGCUUCCAGGAAAAGCCUCUAAGCAUCAGGUAACAUCAAAUCGUACCCCAAACCGACACAGGUGGUCAGGUAGAGAAUACCAAGGCGCUUGAGAGAACUCGGGUGAAGGAACUAGGCAAAAUGGUGCCGUAACUUCGGGAGAAGGCACGCUGAUAUGUAGGUGAAGUCCCUCGCGGAUGGAGCUGAAAUCAGUCGAAGAUACCAGCUGGCUGCAACUGUUUAUUAAAAACACAGCACUGUGCAAACACGAAAGUGGACGUAUACGGUGUGACGCCUGCCCGGUGCCGGAAGGUUAAUUGAUGGGGUUAGCCGCAAGGCGAAGCUCUUGAUCGAAGCCCCGGUAAACGGCGGCCGUAACUAUAACGGUCCUAAGGUAGCGAAAUUCCUUGUCGGGUAAGUUCCGACCUGCACGAAUGGCGUAAUGAUGGCCAGGCUGUCUCCACCCGAGACUCAGUGAAAUUGAACUCGCUGUGAAGAUGCAGUGUACCCGCGGCAAGACGGAAAGACCCCGUGAACCUUUACUAUAGCUUGACACUGAACAUUGAGCCUUGAUGUGUAGGAUAGGUGGGAGGCUUAGAAGUGUGGACGCCAGUCUGCAUGGAGCCGACCUUGAAAUACCACCCUUUAAUGUUUGAUGUUCUAACGUUGACCCGUAAUCCGGGUUGCGGACAGUGUCUGGUGGGUAGUUUGACUGGGGCGGUCUCCUCCUAAAGAGUAACGGAGGAGCACGAAGGUUGGCUAAUCCUGGUCGGACAUCAGGAGGUUAGUGCAAUGGCAUAAGCCAGCUUGACUGCGAGCGUGACGGCGCGAGCAGGUGCGAAAGCAGGUCAUAGUGAUCCGGUGGUUCUGAAUGGAAGGGCCAUCGCUCAACGGAUAAAAGGUACUCCGGGGAUAACAGGCUGAUACCGCCCAAGAGUUCAUAUCGACGGCGGUGUUUGGCACCUCGAUGUCGGCUCAUCACAUCCUGGGGCUGAAGUAGGUCCCAAGGGUAUGGCUGUUCGCCAUUUAAAGUGGUACGCGAGCUGGGUUUAGAACGUCGUGAGACAGUUCGGUCCCUAUCUGCCGUGGGCGCUGGAGAACUGAGGGGGGCUGCUCCUAGUACGAGAGGACCGGAGUGGACGCAUCACUGGUGUUCGGGUUGUCAUGCCAAUGGCACUGCCCGGUAGCUAAAUGCGGAAGAGAUAAGUGCUGAAAGCAUCUAAGCACGAAACUUGCCCCGAGAUGAGUUCUCCCUGACUCCUUGAGAGUCCUGAAGGAACGUUGAAGACGACGACGUUGAUAGGCCGGGUGUGUAAGCGCAGCGAUGCGUUGAGCUAACCGGUACUAAUGAACCGUGAGGCUUAACCUUACAACGCCGAAGGUGUUU
This 2933-nucleotide ribosomal RNA is filed under the name Escherichia coli. Its description in RNAcentral is "bacterial LSU rRNA". It matches the Rfam family "Bacterial large subunit ribosomal RNA". The record is from RNAcentral. RNAcentral also lists the same sequence under 1 other name. Lineage: Bacteria; Pseudomonadati; Pseudomonadota; Gammaproteobacteria; Enterobacterales; Enterobacteriaceae.